AGGGUUUGAUUAUGGCUCAGGAUGAACGCUGGCGGCGUGCUUAACACAUGCAAGUCGAGCGAAGCACUUAUGAUGAUUCUUCGGAUGAAUCAUUUGUGACUGAGCGGCGGACGGGUGAGUAACGCGUGAGUAACCUGCCUCAUACAGGGGAAUAACAGUUAGAAAUGACUGCUAAUGCCGCAUAAGCGCACAGGGCCGCAUGGCCCGGUGUGAAAAACUCCGGUGGUAUGAGAUGGACUCGCGUCUGAUUAGCUAGUUGGCAGGGUAACGGCCUACCAAGGCGACGAUCAGUAGCCGGCCUGAGAGGGUGAACGGCCACAUUGGGACUGAGACACGGCCCAA
Molecule: ribosomal RNA, 342 nt
Filed under: uncultured bacterium
Lineage: Bacteria
Description: bacterial SSU rRNA
Rfam family: Bacterial small subunit ribosomal RNA
Source: RNAcentral